Molecule: ribosomal RNA, 300 nt
Filed under: Triticum aestivum (bread wheat)
Lineage: Eukaryota; Viridiplantae; Streptophyta; Magnoliopsida; Poales; Poaceae
Description: partial small subunit ribosomal RNA
Source: RNAcentral
AUGGGGAUGGGGAUGGCACUUGCUCCACGCUCGUCUCUGUCUCUGCGCUCCCUGCUGCUGCUCAUGCCGCACAGGAAGCCACAUCGGAGCUCUUUCUUCUCCUCCUCCGCCGCGGUUCCGCCUGCGGCUCCAGGAACUGCCAUUCCGGCUUCUGAUCCUGCCGUUCAGCCUCCAGCCGCUCCAGAUCCUGAUCUUGCAGUUCCUGAAGGUCCGCGCGGAUCUAGCCGCGAUGGUCCGCCACGCCAACCUCCUGGAACUAUGGAUAUAGACGCUGAAGACCCCGGCAAGAAGACUCUCUAA